Molecule: transfer RNA, 60 nt
Filed under: Jesogammarus hinumensis
Lineage: Eukaryota; Metazoa; Arthropoda; Malacostraca; Amphipoda; Anisogammaridae
Description: tRNA-Tyr
Source: RNAcentral
GGUAAAAUGGUGUAAAAAACACAACAAAUUGUAAAUUUGUAGAUGCUUAAGCUUUUGCCA